ACCUGCGGAGGGAUCAUUACCGAGUUUACAACUCCCAAACCCCAUGUGAACAUACCUGUUUCGUUCCCUCGGCGGUGUCCGGCAACGGCCCGCCAGAGGACCCAACAAACUCUUUUGAAUUUUUCAGUAUCUUCUGAGUAAAACAAACAAUAAAUCAAAACUUUCAACAACGGAUCUCUUGGUUCUGGCAUCGAUGAAGAACGCAGCGAAAUGCGAUAAGUAAUGUGAAUUGCAGAAUUCAGUGAAUCAUCGAAUCUUUGAACGCACAUUGCGCCCGCCAGUAUUCUGGCGGGCAUGCCUGUUCGAGCGUCAUUUCAACCCUCAAGCUCUGCUUGGUGUUGGGGAUCGGCAAGGCGUCCUCCGGGUCGCGCCGUCCCCCAAAUAUAGUGGCGGUCUCGCUGUAGCUUCCUCUGCGUAGUAAUACACCUCGCUCUGGAGUCUCGGUGCGGCCACGCCGUAAAACCCCCAACUUUUUUCUGGUUGACCUCGAAUCAGGUAGGACUACCCGCUGAACUUAAGCAUAUCAAUAAGCGGAGG
Molecule: ribosomal RNA, 537 nt
Filed under: Calonectria sulawesiensis
Lineage: Eukaryota; Fungi; Ascomycota; Sordariomycetes; Hypocreales; Nectriaceae
Description: eukaryotic LSU rRNA
Rfam family: 5.8S ribosomal RNA (bases 159-312)
Source: RNAcentral